GUGUCAGCCGCCGCGGUAAUACGUACCGGACAAACGUUAUUCGGAAUUACUGGGCUUAAAGAGUGCGUAGGCGGCUUUGAAGGUGGGGUGUGAAAGCCCACGGCUCAACCGUGGAAUUGCGCUCCAAACCGCAAGGCUUGAGGAAGACAGAGGUGAGCGGAACUGAUGGUGGAGCGGUGAAAUGCGUUGAUAUCAUCAGGAACACCCGUGGCGAAGGCGGCUCACUGGGUCUUUUCUGACGCUGAGGCACGAAAGCUAGGGGAGCGAACGGGAUUAGAAACCCGCGUAGUCC
This 292-nucleotide ribosomal RNA is filed under the name uncultured bacterium. RNAcentral describes it as "partial 16S ribosomal RNA". It matches the Rfam family "Bacterial small subunit ribosomal RNA", at positions 505 to 796 of the family's 1533-position model. The record is from RNAcentral.